Molecule: ribosomal RNA, 500 nt
Filed under: uncultured bacterium
Lineage: Bacteria
Description: bacterial SSU rRNA
Rfam family: Bacterial small subunit ribosomal RNA
Source: RNAcentral
GAUCAUGGCUCAGGAUGAACGCUAGCUACAGGCUUAACACAUGGCAAGUCGAGGGGCAUCAGGAAGAAGCUUGCUUCUUUGCUGGCGACCGGCGCACGGGUGAGUAACACGUAUCCAACCUGCCCUUUAUCGGGGAUAGCCUUUCGAAAGAAAGAUUAAUACCCGAUAGUAUAAUGAUUCCGCAUGGUUUCAUUAUUAAAGGAUUCCGGUAAAGGAUGGGGAUGCGUUCCAUUAGGUUGUUGGUGAGGUAACGGCUCACCAAGCCUUCGAUGGAUAGGGGUUCUGAGAGGAAGGUCCCCCACAUUGGAACUGAGACACGGUCCAAACUCCUACGGGAGGCAGCAGUGAGGAAUAUUGGUCAAUGGGCGCUAGCCUAAACCAGCCAAGUAGCGUGAAGGAUGAAGGCUCUAUGGGUCGUAAACUUCUUUUAUAUAAGAAUAAAGUGCAGUAUGUAUACUGUUUUGUAUGUAUUAUAUGAAUAAGGAUCGGCUAACUCCGUG